AAUAUUAUACCCAAACAAGUUGUCAACAUCCGUUUUCAAACUGUUCAAAGUGAAACUCAAAUUAAAGUGUUAUUCACAAUCUCCGUGGAAAAUAUUGACGCCAUCACUUCAUGCUCAGAUAAUGGAACAUUGUAAACCUUUAACAGCAAAUACGGAACAAAAUGAAUCAAAUUUGAAUGCAAGGACGAUACUAUACAUGCAAUUUGCUGAACGUCUCAGGGCAGGUUCAAAUCAAAAGUCCAUGUACCAAAUCAUUAGCAUGAUGGAGAAAGAUGUUCACUAUGGAUCAAAAAUUCAAAACAGAGGACUUUUAUAUACAAACAAAAAUACUUGUACAACAGUAAUCAAAUGGAAUGUCUAUGUGAUUGCAACCACACAUUUUAAUGGAGAGUGAUGUUGAAAGCAAAAUUAUUUUUGUUAAUAGAAAACAAUAGGACUACAAUAUAUUACUAAUUAGGGUACACAACACAUCAGAAGAAGAAUUUUACUGGAGGAUACAAAUUUUAAUACCUGGAAUCAGCAAUUUCAUAUGAAAUUUGUAAAGAGAGAUAUAUUCACGUAAAGAGUGGAAAACCCCACCAGAUAACCCAGUUGAACUUGGUUCAAGUGAUUAUUAGCAGACAUUUUUGUUGAACUAAUGCAAAAUUUAAUAAAUGAAACUUUAGCCAACUAUGAGCCCCAAAGUGUUGUAAAUAGAAGAAUUUUAAAUAUGUGAGACUCAUCAACAUUAAAAUGUGCAUAAGUGAAAUGUAACAAUAUUUUGUAAAAAAAAUCAGAUUAUUGUUGUCAUGAAAUAUUUUAUCAAAGCAAUAUCACUUUUAUAUAAUCAACAUGAUUAAAAAGAUUCCAUAUGUUUUAUUGUAUACUUUUAACAACCGAAUAUAUCUUCCCUCUGGC
Molecule: long non-coding RNA, 897 nt
Organism: Mytilus californianus (California mussel)
Lineage: Eukaryota; Metazoa; Mollusca; Bivalvia; Mytilida; Mytilidae
Exons: 3
Source: RefSeq, a predicted model, not a curated record